This 253-nucleotide ribosomal RNA is filed under the name uncultured bacterium. RNAcentral describes it as "partial 16S ribosomal RNA". It matches the Rfam family "Bacterial small subunit ribosomal RNA", at positions 524 to 776 of the family's 1533-position model. The record is from RNAcentral.
UACGUAGGGUGCGAGCGUUAAUCGGAAUUACUGGGCGUAAAGAGCUCGUAGGUGGUUUGUCGCGUUGUUCGUGAAAUCUCACGGCUUAACUGUGAGCGUGCGGGCGAUACGGGCAGACUGGAGUACUGCAGGGGAGACUGGAAUUCCUGGUGUAGCGGUGGAAUGCGCAGAUAUCAGGAGGAACACCGGUGGCGAAGGCGGGUCUCUGGGCAGUAACUGACGCUGAGGAGCGAAAGCGUGGGGAGCGAACAGG